Molecule: ribosomal RNA, 360 nt
Filed under: Triticum aestivum (bread wheat)
Lineage: Eukaryota; Viridiplantae; Streptophyta; Magnoliopsida; Poales; Poaceae
Description: partial small subunit ribosomal RNA
Source: RNAcentral
AUGGCAAAGUCAAAAAAGAGUAAGGAAAAUAAUAUAGUAGGGAGUGGUGUUACUCGUCGGGUGAAACAGAAAAGGAUUUGUCGUCGAGAUUCUGCUGGUACUUAUAGUGCAGUAGAAGAUCCAAGUCCACCGGCUAGAUCUACAAACACAGUAUCACCUGCUCCACCAGCUGCAGCAUCCGCUUCAAUUGUACCAGCAUCUCAACGAGUUACUCGUUCGUUUGCUUCGGAACUGGCCAGUUCCCAAGCUACCUUCACACCUAACACUACUUCCGAAGCACUGCUGACACAACAGGACUUGGCAAGAUCAGAUGAACCUCAUGAGCAUCAACACCAAGAUGACAUCAGGGAUAAUGCUUGA